AUUUGUGAAGGAAUUUUUACUCCCCAAAAGAGCGCCCCCCCAUGGCAGGAGAAAAAAGUCCAUUUUUUCUUGUCCCCUAAGGUGAAAAUACACAUUGUUGAGUGUCACGCCUUUACGCUUUGGCAAAAUGACACAAAAAUUGACACACACAUGUAUCUCAAUAAGAUCUACAAAAAAGUCUAUGAGCGCGUAUCUGUCAAAUGUACGGUUAAAGGGUUAUUCCGCAUUUUUUGCCGAUACGCACACAUUGGAAUGUGGCUAACUCCUCCGAAGGCUUUCGUUCCACCGGCACCACAUUUGCUCAGGCCAAUCUACACCCCAUGGCCAUUAAAAGUUAUUCAAAUCAUGACGCUGCACCCCACGGUUUAGGUUCUAGGGGGCGCCAAAAAUAACCCUAAAAUCCACAUAUUUCAAAGUCUUAUAACUUUUUAUUUUUGUCCUCACUGGCCUCCAAGUUUUCUAGGAUGAUGCAAUGUCCAGCCAUCAACACAUUUGUGAAGGAAUUUUUACUCCCCAAAAGAGCGCCCCCCCCAUGGCAGGAGAAAAAAGUCCAUUUUUUCUUGUCCCCUAAGGUGAAAAUACAUAUUGUUGAGAUUCACGCCUAUACCCUUUGUCAUAUUGACACAAGAUUUGACAAUCACGUGCCUUGCCUGGUAUCAUUUUUUUCAGCACAACCUCACCUGUGCGAAUUUACAGUUAUUUUAUCAUGUUGACAUACUGAAUUUACACAAUGGACCCAAAUUCACACACAAAACAUAAAAUCCGAGUGGAAAAAAG
RNAcentral lists this long non-coding RNA (777 nucleotides) under Xyrichtys novacula (pearly razorfish). Lineage: Eukaryota; Metazoa; Chordata; Actinopteri; Labriformes; Labridae. The record is from RNAcentral.